This 253-nucleotide ribosomal RNA is filed under the name uncultured prokaryote. RNAcentral describes it as "partial 16S ribosomal RNA". It matches the Rfam family "Bacterial small subunit ribosomal RNA", at positions 525 to 777 of the family's 1533-position model. The record is from RNAcentral.
ACGAGGGGGGCAAGCGUUGUUCGGAAUUAUUGGGCGUAAAGGGCGCGUAGGUGGUGCGGUAAGUCACCUGUGAAAACUCUGGGCUCAACUCAGAGCCUGCAGGCGAAACUGCCGUGCUUGAGUGUGGGAGAGGUGCGUGGAAUUCCCGGUGUAGCGGUGAAAUGCGUAGAGAUGUGGAGGAACACCAGUGGCGAAGGCGGCUUUCUGGUCUGUAACUGACGCUGAGGCGCGAAAGCGUGGGGAGCAAACAGGA